Molecule: ribosomal RNA, 253 nt
Filed under: uncultured bacterium
Lineage: Bacteria
Description: partial 16S ribosomal RNA
Rfam family: Bacterial small subunit ribosomal RNA
Source: RNAcentral
UACGUAGGGUGCGAGCGUUGCCCGGAUUUAUUGGGCGUAAAGGGCGCGUAGGCGGCCACGCACGUCCGUUGUGAAAUCGCCCGGCUCAACUGGGCGGGGUCAGCGGAUACGGUGUGGCUAGAGCAAGCUAGGGGGCAAUGGAAUUCCCGGUGUAGUGGUGGAAUGCGUAGAUAUCGGGAGGAACACCAGUGGCGAAGGCGGUUGCCUGGAGCUUUGCUGACGCUGAUGCGCGAAAGCGUGGGGAGCAAACAGG